Cyprinus carpio carpio is the source of this 796-nucleotide long non-coding RNA. NCBI's taxonomy places the organism in Eukaryota, Metazoa, Chordata, Actinopteri, Cypriniformes, Cyprinidae. The record is from Ensembl.
UUUAGUUUUUAGUACAUCAAGUUUAGUUAAACUGAGAAAUAUUGUCUUGGCAACUAACUGAAAUAAAAUAAGUGAGAUUUUUUAGAAUAUAUUUUAUUAUCUUUCAAUUAAAGUUUUUUUAUUAUUAUUAUUUCAAAUAUGCCUAACAACAAUAUUUAAGGUUUUAAUUUUAUUUAACUAUAAUAAUCCUGAUGAUCUGUAUGAAUGGAAACAAUGUUUUCAGUGUUUUUAUUACAUUUUUUUUAGUUUAUAAAGCUUUUGUGGUCACUGAUGCCUUAUUCUGAAGGCUAAAAUGAACUACUAACCCUAAAAAGCACUAAAUGCACCAAACAGAAUGUUAUAAAUAAUUGUUUCCAAACAGGUUUCCUUGACAAGAGACAGCGUUUAUGCAUCCAGAAAAGCCGCUCUUGAUCUGGGAUCAUCUAGAGACUGAUGGUGUCGCUUCUUUUGACACCAGAAAUGGCGUCUGAAGCGCGCUUAGAAGUGCUUCUGGCUCUCAGCGCGGCCGCUCCGGAUCCAGGUGUGAACGCUGUCUCUGGUUUGGCAGAUUCCCCCUCAGUCGCCCUGUUUGGAUCAGAACUCAGAGAGGAAAGAUGCAUCAAACGCACCGUGAAAUCCACAGGUGUGCGGCUGCGGAGAGUGAGAGAGAGAUGGAGAGAAGAAAGGAGAGCGAGAGAGAGUGUUAUUCAUCCCCAGGGGGCACUGUUAGCCCUCCACUUCAACAUCCAACAUCAACAACCUGCACCAUGUGGCCCCAAACACACACACACACACACACACACACACAUACACACAC